UUAAUUUGAGAGUUUGAUCCUGGCUCAGGACGAACGCUGGCGGCGUGCCUAAUACAUGCAAGUCGAACGAACUCUGGUAUUGAUUGGUGCUUGCAUCAUGAUUUACAUUUGAGUGAGUGGCGAACUGGUGAGUAACACGUGGGAAACCUGCCCAGAAGCGGGGGAUAACACCUGGAAACAGAUGCUAAUACCGCAUAACAACUUGGACCGCAUGGUCCGAGUUUGAAAGAUGGCUUCGGCUAUCACUUUUGGAUGGUCCCGCGGCGUAUUAGCUAGAUGGUGGGGUAACGGCUCACCAUGGCAAUGAUACGUAGCCGACCUGAGAGGGUAAUCGGCCACAUUGGGACUGAGACACGGCCCAAACUCCUACGGGAGGCAGCAGUAGGGAAUCUUCCACAAUGGACGAAAGUCUGAUGGAGCAACGCCGCGUGAGUGAAGAAGGGUUUCGGCUCGUAAAACUCUGUUGUUAAAGAAGAACAUAUCUGAGAGUAACUGUUCAGGUAUUGACGGUAUUUAACCAGAAAGCCACGGCUAACUACGUGCCAGCAGCCGCGGUAAUACGUAGGUGGCAAGCGUUGUCCGGAUUUAUUGGGCGUAAAGCGAGCGCAGGCGGUUUUUUAAGUCUGAUGUGAAAGCCUUCGGCUCAACCGAAGAAGUGCAUCGGAAACUGGGAAACUUGAGUGCAGAAGAGGACAGUGGAACUCCAUGUGUAGCGGUGAAAUGCGUAGAUAUAUGGAAGAACACCAGUGGCGAAGGCGGCUGUCUGGUCUGUAACUGACGCUGAGGCUCGAAAGUAUGGGUAGCAAACAGGAUUAGAUACCCUGGUAGUCCAUACCGUAAACGAUGAAUGCUAAGUGUUGGAGGGUUUCCACCCUUCAGUGCUGCAGCUAACGCAUUAAGCAUUCCGCCUGGGGAGUACGGCCGCAAGGCUGAAACUCAAAGGAAUUGACGGGGGCCCGCACAAGCGGUGGAGCAUGUGGUUUAAUUCGAAGCUACGCGAAGAACCUUACCAGGUCUUGACAUACUAUGCAAAUCUAAGAGAUUAGACGUUCCCUUCGGGGACAUGGAUACAGGUGGUGCAUGGUUGUCGUCAGCUCGUGUCGUGAGAUGUUGGGUUAAGUCCCGCAACGAGCGCAACCCUUAUUAUCAGUUGCCAGCAUUAAGUUGGGCACUCUGGUGAGACUGCCGGUGACAAACCGGAGGAAGGUGGGGAUGACGUCAAAUCAUCAUGCCCCUUAUGACCUGGGCUACACACGUGCUACAAUGGAUGGUACAACGAGUUGCGAACUCGCGAGAGUAAGCUAAUCUCUUAAAGCCAUUCUCAGUUCGGAUUGUAGGCUGCAACUCGCCUACAUGAAGUCGGAAUCGCUAGUAAUCGCGGAUCAGCAUGCCGCGGUGAAUACGUUCCCGGGCCUUGUACACACCGCCCGUCACACCAUGAGAGUUUGUAACACCCAAAGUCGGUGGGGUAACCUUUUAGGAACCAGCCGCCUAAGGUGGGACAGAUGAUUAGGGUGAAGUCGUAACAAGGUAGCCGUAGGAGAACCUGCGGCUGGAUCACCUCCUUUCUAAGGAA
This 1576-nucleotide ribosomal RNA is filed under the name Lactiplantibacillus plantarum. RNAcentral's name for it is "Lactobacillus plantarum 16S ribosomal RNA". It matches the Rfam family "Bacterial small subunit ribosomal RNA". Lineage: Bacteria; Bacillati; Bacillota; Bacilli; Lactobacillales; Lactobacillaceae. The record is from RNAcentral.